This 517-nucleotide ribosomal RNA is filed under the name Dehalococcoidia bacterium. RNAcentral's name for it is "partial 23S ribosomal RNA". It matches the Rfam family "Bacterial large subunit ribosomal RNA", at positions 1023 to 1647 of the family's 2925-position model. The record is from RNAcentral. Lineage: Bacteria; Bacillati; Chloroflexota; Dehalococcoidia.
CAGCCCAGACCUACAGCUAAGGUCCCCAAGUGAUAGUUAAGUGCAAAAGCAAGUCGGAAGUCCAAGACAACCAGGAGGUUGGCUUAGAAGCAGCCAUCCUUUAAAGAAAGCGUAAUAGCUCACUGGUCUAAAUAAGACUUCUGGCGGCGAAGAUGUAACGGGACUCAAACUAUCCACCGAAGCUUAGGGCGCAUUUAUGCGCGGUAGCGGAGCAUUCUGUAAGCCUGUGAAGGUUAACCGCGAGGUUGGCUGGAGGUAUCAGAAGUGAGAAUGCUGACAUGAGUAACGAGAAGAGUGUGAGAAACACUCUCGCCGAAAUCCUAAGGGUUCCUGUCCAAUGCUAAUCAGGGCAGGGUGAGCCGGCUCCUAAGGCGAGGCCGAAAGGCGUAGUCGAUGGGAAUCCAGUUAAUAUUCUGGAGCCAGUGGAUGUGUGACGGUGGCCGUAAAUCGUAUCUCCUUAUUGGAUUGGAGAUGCGGUGAAGGACAUCCAGGAAAUAGCCUCCACAUUAGACCGUAC